AGAAGAAUAAUUGCGACAAGAAGGAUGGGGUGCAUGGAAUAGUGGCAGUGGCAAUUGAUUCAGACAAGGGGAGCCAGAAUGCACUAAAAUGGACCAUUGAUCAUCUCCUCCCCAAAGGGUCAAAUGUAGUUCUCAUUCAUGUCAAGACUAAGCCCUCUUCUCUUUAUCCAUCAGUUUCUCUUGUGAACCCUAGGGCAAAUGGUAUUGCUGAGCAUGCA
Molecule: small RNA, 218 nt
Filed under: Vigna angularis var. angularis
Lineage: Eukaryota; Viridiplantae; Streptophyta; Magnoliopsida; Fabales; Fabaceae
Description: Non-protein coding transcript
Source: RNAcentral